This 621-nucleotide long non-coding RNA is filed under the name Gossypium raimondii (Peruvian cotton). Its description in RNAcentral is "long non-coding RNA (GRAI_LNC001506)". The record is from RNAcentral. Lineage: Eukaryota; Viridiplantae; Streptophyta; Magnoliopsida; Malvales; Malvaceae.
UUAGCUAGCUCAAUGGCAAAUCAGCUUGAAGUAAAGUGCAAAGGAUCUCGAUGAGCAAUCCCAAGCUCGACCGGUAGAAGCCUUUUUCCAAAUCUGUCCACCAUAGCCGAAUUUGCUUCUUUGAAUGCUUAGAUCGAGCUCGAUUAGUUGGACCCGUUUGUAGCUUGAUUGGAUCUCAAUUGAAGUCAGCUGAGUCCCCGAGCGCGUUCGUAUCACCCAUACACACCUCAACUCCUCCAUCCAUUGCAUUAUUAUUCUAUUAGGGUUUUUAAUAAGAUCUUGACACCUAAGGGUGAUGAUAUUAAUUUAAAUUUUCAAGAUUUUCUCUUAUUUUAAAAGUUUGUUUUAGAACUUGGUUUCAUUAGGGUUUUUAAAAAGACUUCAACACCUAGGUGUUGAUGUUAGUUUUUACAUUACACUACCAUUCCUUUAUCUUUUCCCUAAUCAUAAUGGACUCGAAAAACUUGGUAGCACAAUACCUAUGUAGGACCUCGACACCAAUAAGUAUCGAGAUACCUAUAAAAGAAACCUAUUUCGAAAAAUAACUUUCUCAUAUACGUAUUUAAGUAAAAAUAUUUAUUUAUCUUAUUUUGAGAAGAAAAAACUAGAACUACACUCUAG